GGAGAGGAUCAUGUGAAUGACAAGGAGGGUGCACAUAGAAAAGGACGCAAUCGGGGUCGGGGCAAGGGGCGUGGGAGGGCUCAGUACCAUCAUAAUAACCGUGGAAAUCACGUGGGAACACCCCCUUCUAAUAAUUCAGUUAUUGGUGAGCAGCCAGUGAUGGUGAAGCAACCUCCAGGGCCCCGUAUGCCUGAUGGCACAAGAGGAUUUGCUAUGGGUCGGGGGAAGCCAGUUGCUGUUAAUAUUGCAUGAUAACUAGUCUUUUUCAAGAUAACUACGGAGGAUGGGGAAUUUAAGGGUGGUAUUGAACAUGGGAGUUGAUGGCAGGGUUAUACAAAGGGCUAUUAUCAAUCAGAAGUAGUUGGUGUAAGGGUUGAAUAAUUUUUUUUUG
This 391-nucleotide unclassified non-coding RNA is filed under the name Hevea brasiliensis (rubber tree). Lineage: Eukaryota; Viridiplantae; Streptophyta; Magnoliopsida; Malpighiales; Euphorbiaceae. The record is from RNAcentral.